GUUUGGUGCCAGCAGCCGCGGUAAUUCCAGCUCCAAUAGCGUAUAUUAAAGUUGUUGCAGUUAAAAAGCUCGUAGUUGAAUUUCGGGAUCAGCACGUUGGUCGUGCCUCUGGUAUGUACUGGCUUUGCUGGUUCCUCCCUCCUGAAGAACCGUAAUGCCAUUAAUUUGGUGUGGCGGGGAAACAGGACUGUUCCUUUGAAAAAAUUAAAGUGUUUAAAGC
This 220-nucleotide ribosomal RNA is filed under the name Glomeraceae sp. Its description in RNAcentral is "partial small subunit ribosomal RNA". It matches the Rfam family "Eukaryotic small subunit ribosomal RNA", at positions 559 to 781 of the family's 1831-position model. The record is from RNAcentral. Lineage: Eukaryota; Fungi; Glomeromycota; Glomeromycetes; Glomerales; Glomeraceae.